Molecule: ribosomal RNA, 448 nt
Filed under: uncultured bacterium
Lineage: Bacteria
Description: bacterial SSU rRNA
Rfam family: Bacterial small subunit ribosomal RNA
Source: RNAcentral
UGAGGAAUAUUGCACAAUGGGCGCAAGCCUGAUGCAGCGACGCCGCGUGGGUGAAGAAGGUUUUCGGAUCGUAAAACCCUUUUCUGUGUGACGAGAACGGACGGUAGCACAGGAAUAAGUCUCGGCUAACUACGUGCCAGCAGCCGCGGUAAAACGUAGGAGACAAACGUUAUCCGGAGUUACUGGGCGUAAAGGGCGUGCAGGCGGCAGUCUAAGUCUGGCGUGAAAUAUCCCGGCUUAACCGGGGAAGGUCGUCGGAUACUGGGCAGCUAGAGGGCGGUAGAGGCGUGUGGAAUUCCGGGUGUAGUGGUGAAAUGCGUAGAGAUCCGGAGGAACACCAGUGGCGAAGGCGACACGCUGGGCCGCACCUGACGCUAAGACGCGACAGCAUGGGGAGCAAACAGGAUUAGAUACCCACGUAGUCCCUGAGCGGGCUGGCAAGGCGCAU